GGGAGUGGCUCAGUUGGUAGAGCGUUGCCUUGCCAAGGCAAAGGUCGCGGGUUCGAACCCCGUCUUCCG
This 69-nucleotide transfer RNA is filed under the name human gut metagenome. It matches the Rfam family "tRNA". From Rfam's summary of the family: Transfer RNA (tRNA) molecules are approximately 80 nucleotides in length. RNAcentral also lists the same sequence under 2 other names. The record is from RNAcentral.